Molecule: ribosomal RNA, 262 nt
Filed under: uncultured archaeon
Lineage: Archaea
Description: partial 16S ribosomal RNA
Rfam family: Archaeal small subunit ribosomal RNA
Source: RNAcentral
CAGCCGUAAACAAUGUGCGUUAGGUAUGUCGGUAACCACGUGUUACUGAUGUGCCGAAGAGAAACCGUGAAACGUGCCGCCUGGGAAGUACGGUCGCAAGGCUGAAACUUAAAGGAAUUGGCGGGGGGAGCACCACAACGGGUGGAGCCUGCGGUUUAAUUGGACUCAACGCCGGGAAGCUCACCGGAUAAGACAGCGGAAUGAUUGCCGGGCUGAAGACUCUGCAUGACUAGCUGAGAGGUGGUGCAUGGCGUAGACGUCU